RNAcentral lists this ribosomal RNA (346 nucleotides) under uncultured bacterium. RNAcentral describes it as "bacterial SSU rRNA". It matches the Rfam family "Bacterial small subunit ribosomal RNA", at positions 28 to 372 of the family's 1533-position model. The record is from RNAcentral.
GAUGAACGCUAGCGGCAGGCUUAAUACAUGCAAGUCGAGGGGUAACAGGUCCCGCAAGGGAUGCUGACGACCGGCAAACGGGUGCGGAACACGUACGCAACCUUCCCAAAACUGGUGAAUAGCCCCUCCGAAAGGAGGAUUAAUACACCGUAAGAUAAUGAGGUGGCAUCACUUUAUAUUAUAGCUACGGCGGUUUUGGAUGGCGUGCGCCUGAUUAGGUAGUUGGCGGGGUAACGGCCACCAAGCCUGCGAUCAGUAACUGGUGUGAGAGCACGACCAGUCACACGGGCACUGAGACACGGGCCCGACUCCGUACGGGAGGCAGCAGUAAGGAAUAUUGGUCAAU